Molecule: small nuclear RNA, 108 nt
Organism: Suncus etruscus (white-toothed pygmy shrew)
Lineage: Eukaryota; Metazoa; Chordata; Mammalia; Eulipotyphla; Soricidae
Source: RefSeq, a predicted model, not a curated record
GUGCUCACUUCAGCAGCACAUGUACUAAAAUUGAAACGAUAGAGAGAAGAUCAGCAUGGCCCCUGCACAAGAAAAGGUAAUGGUAUAAUUUAGGCACAAGGCAAAUCU